Long non-coding RNA from Ahaetulla prasina, 654 nucleotides. RefSeq lists it as uncharacterized. The record is from RefSeq and is a predicted model, not a curated record. The transcript is spliced from 5 exons. NCBI's taxonomy places the organism in Eukaryota, Metazoa, Chordata, Lepidosauria, Squamata, Colubridae.
GUUCUUUUAUUUUAUUGAGUAAACGGCGAGGAGGCGGACGGGGGAAGAAAAGGGCACGCGGUGAGAGAGAGAGAGAGAGAAGGAGGGGAAGAGAGAAAGAGAGAGACGCGCCGUGAUGUUAGGCAGGGGCGGGGAGGAAGCUUGUCGCAGCCGGCCCCAGGUAAAUGGAGGAACCUGACAGUUGAGAGGAGGAGGAGGAGGCGGCGACCAAGGUGAAAUGGCGGCGGCAGCACCAAUGGCGGCACAAUGAGGCGACGCCUGUAAACCGGGUUAAACUCCGGACUGUCCCACCUGGCAGGAGCUUGGCAGUGAUGUGAUUACCAUACACACCAUACACGCAGAUAUAAUGGUGUCAGAAUGCAGUUCAGAAAACAUAUACGCAGAGAUCUCAGAAAUUAAUACAGUAGUCCUCAACUUACGACCACAAUUGAACCCAAAUUUUCUGUUGCAAAACGAGUUAUUUGUUAAUAAGCUGUGCAGGAAAAUGCUAUGAAAAGAAACACUGGAUGAAUGAAUGAAAAGCCCUGCUUUUCCACCCUUCAGCAUGGCAGGACUACAACUCAUGACCCCAGCUUCUUCUCCAAUGGGUCCUUUUUUUGGACUACCAUGGCAACAAGAAGCAAUUCAUGAUAACAUUUACACACCAAGAAAAUA